RNAcentral lists this non-coding RNA (62 nucleotides) under Deltaproteobacteria bacterium. RNAcentral describes it as "Fluoride sequence". It matches the Rfam family "Fluoride riboswitch aptamer (crcB RNA motif)". Lineage: Bacteria; Pseudomonadati; Myxococcota; Myxococcia. The record is from RNAcentral.
CAUCAAAUAGGUGAUGGAGUUCACCUUUAACCGCUUUAAUGGCUGAUGACUCCUACAAAUUA